Molecule: long non-coding RNA, 941 nt
Filed under: Salvia miltiorrhiza (redroot sage)
Lineage: Eukaryota; Viridiplantae; Streptophyta; Magnoliopsida; Lamiales; Lamiaceae
Description: long non-coding RNA (SMIL_LNC008933)
Source: RNAcentral
CAUUCCCACCGCUUCCGCCCUUCACUCUCUGUUUUUGCCUCCGAUUAUUCUGUUUUGCCCUAAAAAGCUGAAUUUGUUCAACACAGUCUCAGAUUGGAGUUUCUAUUAUACUCUUAAAAACCCCUCUCAAUCCAUCCCCAAAAUGGAGCCAGAUUUCUUCAAAAAUCUACCACCAGAAAUCAUCAGCGAGAUCUUGUUAAGAUACCUGUUGUAAGCAUUCCAAUAAGCAAAUGGUUUGCAAGCGAUGGCUCCAUCUGCUGGAGUCUGAUGCAUUUGUCAAGUCUCAUUUUGCCAGAUCCGCCCCCGCCCUAGUUGUUUUGGGGAAUUCAAAUCAGUUGAAAGUUUUGGAAUUGGAAGGCGAGCUCAAUCUCCAUCUCGAGAGCUACAAUCCACUCACCCACUAUGAUUUCCCUUACAUCUCCAUCUUUGAAGAAUAAGGAAUUUUUUUAAUGGUUUUCUUGUUAUAAGGUGGGUUUUGAUAAGCUUUGGGUAUGUAAUCCGAUCACUCGUGAAGUUAUUAAGCUAGAUCUGCCUUCAGAUCUGCCUACAGAUCCACAACAAUCUCUCAGAAUAUCUGCUUUGGGAUUUGGGGCAAGCAAGGUAGUAGUCUGUAUUAAACGUAGGUCCUAUCUGAUAAAUUGGAGUGUCAUGUAUACACCUUGGAACAGGAUCUUGGCGACGGCUUGAAGGUAACCCGUAUUGACCAGUUUGGUCUUUCAGGUGCAUUUGUUAAUGGAAAUCUCCAUUGGAUAGCAACCAUUGGAGAAGAUUCGUCAUGGAUUUCUUGCUUUGAUGUUGAAACAGAAUGUUUUAGCUUCUUUAAAGCUCCUCCUUAUCAUGCUCGAAGAUUUCCCUUCACAAAAGGAACGUCCAUUUCUGCUUUGAGCGGUUGCCUAUGGUUUUGCAAGGUAGCAUCUGAAUUUGUAAAUUCUGGUGGGCGA